RNAcentral lists this ribosomal RNA (716 nucleotides) under uncultured bacterium. Its description in RNAcentral is "bacterial SSU rRNA". It matches the Rfam family "Bacterial small subunit ribosomal RNA", at positions 91 to 787 of the family's 1533-position model. The record is from RNAcentral.
GCGAGCGGCGGAUGGGUGAGUAACACGUGGGGAACCUGCCCCUAAGUCUGGGAUACCAUUUGGAAACAGGUGCUAAUACCGGAUAAUAAAGCAGAUCGCAUGAUCAGCUUUUGAAAGGCGGCGUAAGCUGUCGCUAAGGGAUGGCCCCGCGGUGCAUUAGCUAGUUGGUAAGGUAACGGCUUACCAAGGCGACGAUGCAUAGCCGAGUUGAGAGACUGAUCGGCCACAUUGGGACUGAGACACGGCCCAAACUCCUACGGGAGGCAGCAGUAGGGAAUCUUCCACAAUGGACGCAAGUCUGAUGGAGCAACGCCGCGUGAGUGAAGAAGGUUUUCGGAUCGUAAAGCUCUGUUGUUGGUGAAGAAGGAUAGAGGUAGUAACUGGCCUUUAUUUGACGGUAAUCAACCAGAAAGUCACGGCUAACUACGUGCCAGCAGCCGCGGUAAUACGUAGGUGGCAAGCGUUGUCCGGAUUUAUUGGGCGUAAAGCGAGCGCAGGCGGAAAAAUAAGUCUAAUGUGAAAGCCCUCGGCUUAACCGAGGAACUGCAUCGGAAACUGUUUUUUCUUGAGUGCAGAAGAGGAGAGUGGAACUCCAUGUGUAGCGGUGGAAUGCGUAGAUAUAUGGAAGAACACCCAGUGGCGAAAGGCGGCUCUCUGGUCUGCAACUGACGCUGAGGCUCGAAAAGCAUGGGUUAGCGAACAGGAAUUAGAUACCC